Long non-coding RNA from Oncorhynchus tshawytscha (Chinook salmon), 1298 nucleotides. The record is from Ensembl. NCBI's taxonomy places the organism in Eukaryota, Metazoa, Chordata, Actinopteri, Salmoniformes, Salmonidae.
GCUGAUUUCAUUUUUGUCUUUGCUCAAUACAAAUUUCACCAGAUUGGGUCUGCUGGAUUGUUUCGAUACCCCCAUGUGUUAGGAUGCUGGUAACUCUUCCGAGAGAUCGCCAGUAACAUAAGAGAGUAUGAACUAAUUUUGAAAAUGGUUUCAACAACAACAGUAUGUUGUUAUGCUCUUUGACAUUUGUUGUAGAGAUAAUGUUAUUAAGACAAUUGGGAAUGUAAUAAUUUGUCAUAUAGUCAAUGUUUGUAUGGAUUUCCUGAAACAGAAAUUAAUUGAACUAAACUGUUGUUCUGAUCUGAUCUGAGCUAAAAUAGAACUCCUUUCUAUUUCCGACGCAGAUCGCGCUGAAAGUCCUGCCUCUCCCAUCUCCUCAUUGGUUUAUAGAAGCAGGUACCCACGUGCCAUCUCCUCAUUGGUUAUACCCACGAGUGAUUGAAAGACGAACUGUUUUGCCGGUAGUCGUGGUAAUACUAUGGAAGUUUAGAUGCCAAUCACCAUAUAAGUUCAAAGAUGAAAAAGCCUGGAACGAGGAGAGAUGACUAGAAAUGAUUCGGUUAGCCGUUUUAUGUGUGGAUUAAUUGGCAGAGGAGAGGAGCUUGUGCAUUUCAGACUCUGUGGAAGAACCUUUAAACUGGCUUUAAAAAGAGAGAAUGCUGAGAUCAGAAGAGAGCGAUUUACUAAUGGUGGUGGACCACCAAAAAAAGACAAGACUGAUGAAUUGAGUGACUUGCUGUCUGGAAUAAUAGAGCACCAGCAACCUCUGGAUGGUAUACCACAUGAUGACUAACCUCUGGAUGGUAUACCACAUGAUGACUAACCUCUGGAUGGUAUACCACAUGAUGACCAACCUCUGGAUGAUAAUUUCAGAUGAAGAACUGAGCACAAAUGGUACAUAUACCAAAGAAAGUAAAUUGGUUACUUCCUUUGGUAAAUAUACUCCACUGUCUGUGUUAAUCUGUAUUCUUCUUUCAUUCUAAGGACCAUAUGAGUUUAUUUGUGUUUCUAACAGUGUUAUUUUUCCAGAGGAAAGGAAUCUGAAAUGGUUGGAAGAGCCAGUGCACAGUGAGUGUGUACCCUCUACAUCUGCUUUAGCAUCCCUGAGAAAAGAUUCUGCCACCACCUUUCAGCAGAGAACAAAAAAUAUGACCAUGCAUGAAAAGUUACCCAGAGAAUUUCAUGAGCAUAAAAUGAAAUAUCUGAAGGAAGAACACGAAAAUAAAAUGAGAAUUCUACAGGUUGAAUUGGAUAUGAAGUUGGAAGAGAGAGGUAUGAUCCAAAAAAGAUACAGUAAU